AGUGAACGCUGGCGGUAGGCCUAACACAUGCAAGUCGAACGGCAGCACAGUAAGAGCUUGCUCUUACGGGUGGCGAGUGGCGGACGGGUGAGGAAUACAUCGGAAUCUACUUUUUCGUGGGGGAUAACGUAGGGAAACUUACGCUAAUACCGCAUACGACCUACGGGUGAAAGCAGGGGAUCUUCGGACCUUGCGCGAUUGAAUGAGCCGAUGUCGGAUUAGCUAGUUGGCGGGGUAAAGGCCCACCAAGGCGACGAUCCGUAGCUGGUCUGAGAGGAUGAUCAGCCACACUGGAACUGAGACACGGUCCAGACUCCUACGGGAGGCAGCAGUGGGGAAUAUUGGACAAUGGGCGCAAGCCUGAUCCAGCCAUACCGCGUGGGUGAAGAAGGCCUUCGGGUUGUAAAGCCCCUUUGUUGGGAAAGAAAAGCAGCAGGUUAAUACCCCGCUGCUCUGACGGUACCCAAAGAAUAAGCACCGGCUAACUUCGUG
RNAcentral lists this ribosomal RNA (492 nucleotides) under uncultured bacterium. RNAcentral describes it as "partial 16S ribosomal RNA". It matches the Rfam family "Bacterial small subunit ribosomal RNA", at positions 29 to 507 of the family's 1533-position model. The record is from RNAcentral.